RNAcentral lists this transfer RNA (74 nucleotides) under Candidatus Chisholmbacteria bacterium RIFCSPHIGHO2_01_FULL_48_12. RNAcentral describes it as "tRNA-His". It matches the Rfam family "tRNA". Rfam says of the family: Transfer RNA (tRNA) molecules are approximately 80 nucleotides in length. Their secondary structure includes four short double-helical elements and three loops (D, anti-codon, and T loops). The record is from RNAcentral. Lineage: Bacteria; Candidatus Chisholmiibacteriota.
GAGGCGUUGGUGUAAUGGCAGCACUACAGGUUGUGGACCUGUUAGAGGGGGUUCGAGUCCCCUACGUCUCCCCU